GAUGAACGCUGGCGGCGUGCUUAACACAUGCAAGUCGAACGGAAAGGCUCCUGCUUGCAGGGGUACUCGAGUGGCGAACGGGUGAGUAACACGUGGGUGAUCUGCCCUGCACUUCGGGAUAAGCCUGGGAAACUGGGUCUAAUACCGGAUAGGACCACAUUUUGGAUGGUGUGGUGGAAAGUUUUUCGGUGUGGGAUGAGCUCGCGGCCUAUCAGCUUGUUGGUGGGGUAAUGGCCUACGAAGGCGUCGACGGGUAGCCGGCCUGAGAGGGUGUACGGCCACAUUGGGACUGAGAUACGGACCAGACUCCAACGGGAGGCAGCAGUGGAGAAUAUUGCACAAUAGGCGCAAGCCUGUUACAGCGACGCCGCGUGGGUGAUGACGGCCUUCGAGUUGUAAACACCUUUCGCUAGGGACGAAGCGCAAGUGACGGUACCUAGAGAAAAAGCACCGGCUAACUACGUG
Molecule: ribosomal RNA, 465 nt
Filed under: uncultured bacterium
Lineage: Bacteria
Description: partial 16S ribosomal RNA
Rfam family: Bacterial small subunit ribosomal RNA
Source: RNAcentral